This 1043-nucleotide ribosomal RNA is filed under the name uncultured archaeon. Its description in RNAcentral is "bacterial SSU rRNA". It matches the Rfam family "Archaeal small subunit ribosomal RNA", at positions 1 to 1054 of the family's 1478-position model. The record is from RNAcentral.
UCUGUUUGAUCCUGGCGGAGGCCACUGCUAUCGGAGUUCGAUUAAGCCAUGCGAGUCGAGAGGUGCAAGACCUCGGCAUACUGCUCAGUAACACGUGGACAACCUACCCUAUGGAGGGGGAUAACCCCGGGAAACUGGGGAUAAUACCCCAUAGAUUAUGGAUGCUGGAAUGCUCUGUAGUUGAAAGGUCCGCCGCCAUAGGAUGGGUCUGCGGCCGAUUAGGUUGUUGUUGGGGUAACGGCCCAACAAGCCUGUAAUCGGUACGGGUUGUGGGAGCAAGAGCCCGGAGAUGGAUUCUGAGACACGAAUCCAGGCCCUACGGGGCGCAGCAGGCGCGAAAACUUUACAAUGCGGGAAACCGUGAUAAGGGAACUCCGAGUGCCCGUUAAAUCGGGCUGUCCACCAGUUUAAAUAACUGGUGAAGAAAGGGCCGGGCAAGACCGGUGCCAGCCGCCGCGGUAAUACCGGCGGCUCGAGUGGUGGCCACUAUUACUGGGCUUAAAGCGUUCGUAGCUGGUCUGUUAAGUCUCUGGGGAAAUCUACCGGCUUAACCGGUAGGCGUCUCAGGGAUACUGGCAGACUAGGGACCGGGAGAGGUGAGGGGUACUCCAGGGGUAGGAGUGAAAUCCUGUAAUCCUUGGGGGACCACCUGUGGCGAAGGCGCCUCACCAGAACGGCUCCGACAGUGAGGGACGAAAGCUGGGGGAGCAAACCGGAUUAGAUACCCGGGUAGUCCCAGCUGUAAACGAUGCGCGUUAGGUGUAUCGGUGACCACGAGUCACCGAGGUGCCGAAGAGAAAUCGUGAAACGUGCCGCCUGGGAAGUACGGUCGCAAGGCUGAAACUUAAAGGAAUUGGCGGGGGAGCACCACAACGGGUGGAGCCUGCGGUUUAAUCGGACUCAACGCCGGGAAACUCACCGGACAAGACAGCUGAAUGAUAGUCGGGCUGAAGACUCUACUUGACUAGCUGAGAGGAGGUGCAUGGCCGUCGUCAGUUCGUACUGUGAAGCAUCCUGUUAAGUCAGGCAACGAGCGAGACCCA